AACACAGGUGCUGCAUGGCUGUCGUCAGCUCGUGUCGUGAGAUGUUGGGUUAAGUCCCGCAACGAGCGCAACCCUUAUCAUUAGUUGCUACGCAAGGGCACUCUAAUGAGACUGCCGGUGACAAACCGGAGGAAGGUGGGGAUGACGUCAAGUCCUCAUGGCCCUUAUGGGUAGGGCUUCACACGUCAUACAAUGGUCGGUACAGAGGGUUGCCAAGCCGCGAGGUGGAGCCAAUCCCACAAAGCCGAUCGUAGUCCGGAUUGUUCUCUGCAACUCGAGAGCAUGAAGUCGGAAUCGCUAGUAAUCGCAGGUCAGCAUACUGCGGUGAAUACGUUCCCGGGUCUUGUAACACACCG
This 356-nucleotide ribosomal RNA is filed under the name uncultured soil bacterium. RNAcentral describes it as "bacterial SSU rRNA". It matches the Rfam family "Bacterial small subunit ribosomal RNA", at positions 1031 to 1392 of the family's 1533-position model. The record is from RNAcentral.